Molecule: long non-coding RNA, 1185 nt
Organism: Herpailurus yagouaroundi (jaguarundi)
Lineage: Eukaryota; Metazoa; Chordata; Mammalia; Carnivora; Felidae
Exons: 3
Source: RefSeq, a predicted model, not a curated record
CAUGGCCUCCAGCACUUUCUUCUUUCUUUCUUUUUUAUUUUAUUUUAGUUUUUAUUUUUCAUAUGAAACAUUUUCCUGCCAGGAUCUUCUAUAUACAGUUGGAGGAUGCUUUUGAUAUGUAGAUCAAGCAAAAUGGUAAAUACAGAGCCCUCUCUUUUCAAACAUUCCCUUAUUCUACAAUGUGCCUGUAGUGUCACUGUCUUUGAUUUCCAUGAGGCUUGCCCUUGGGUUUGUAUUGUAACUUGGUAUCUUUCCAUUGUCCCUUACCACAAAAAAAAUUCCUUUUUAAGAAACUGAAUUCAGAAUGUAAUCCAUCAAGCUUUAGCUCCUCUUUCUCUUUCCUUCUGGAAGAUUUAGUGACUAAGUCUUUGCUUUGAUUUUCUUUCUCUGACUUUGAGGGGUCUCACUUUCUCUUCUAAUUGCUACAAUCUGGUAACUCCUUUUGCUUGGAGUAAACAAAAACAGAAACACUUGGUGAGGAGACAAACAGGCUCACAAGCUCACGUGCCUGACUAGCUGAUGGAUGGCAAGGUCUGGCUCUCAGGAAGAGACCUGAAACGUCAGUUUCAGGAUGGGCUCUCUGCCAGGCACAGUGGAGCUCACUUUCUAGUACCAAACGUAUCUAGUUGCACUCCAUAAAGAUUAUAUAAAGGACUUAUUCGUAAAUGUGCAUAAUUCUGCUGCCAGAGUAUAGGAGAGUGAGAGAGUAAUUCUGACUAGAGGAAUACAGAUUUCCUGGAAGAGAAGGGAUUUUCCUGGUCUUCCAAAAUGGAUAGGAUUUUGAGAGGAGACGUUUAGUCUUCCACUGGCUCUAAUAUGUAUCUUAGAAAUCUGUAAGAUUUUAGAAGGCUGUUGAAGCAACACUUGAGAGCCCAAUUCAAGGAUGAGACCUGGUGACAUCACUGAUACCGGAUUCAUACAGAGAAGGAAUAGGUAUAGAAGGCUGUUUGUCUGGGACACAUCUGAAACAAGAAUCUUAACAAUGGUAAAUCUAAAAGCUGGGUCUUCUAAUCUCACGGUAUCAUGUGAUUUUUCUUUCUUACACUCACUGUUAAAACUUCCCAUCCCGAAGUAACAGCAUGUUCACACACAAACACCCCCAUAGACAACUGAAACCAUUAAUAUUCGCAUAGGCCUUGUGACUCAAAGUGUGGGCUCUAGACCCAGAUCACCUGGGAGCUUGUA